UCCCUGGUGGUCCAGUGGCUAGGAUUCGGCGCUUUCACCGCCGCGGCCCGGGUUCGAUUCCCGGUCAGGGAA
This is a transfer RNA of Monodelphis domestica (gray short-tailed opossum), 72 nucleotides long. It matches the Rfam family "tRNA". Rfam says of the family: Transfer RNA (tRNA) molecules are approximately 80 nucleotides in length. The record is from Rfam. Lineage: Eukaryota; Metazoa; Chordata; Mammalia; Didelphimorphia; Didelphidae.